GCACUGCUGAGGAGUCCCACAAUAGGAUGAGACGGCCGUCCAGUGC
Molecule: non-coding RNA, 46 nt
Organism: Schistosoma rodhaini
Lineage: Eukaryota; Metazoa; Platyhelminthes; Trematoda; Strigeidida; Schistosomatidae
Source: Rfam